Molecule: ribosomal RNA, 481 nt
Filed under: uncultured bacterium
Lineage: Bacteria
Description: partial 16S ribosomal RNA
Rfam family: Bacterial small subunit ribosomal RNA
Source: RNAcentral
GAUGAACGCUGGCGGCGUGCUUAACACAUGCAAGUCGAACGAAACACCUUAUUUGAUUUUCUUCGGAACUGAAGAUUUGGUGAUUGAGUGGCGGACGGGUGAGUAACGCGUGGGUAACCUGCCCUGUACAGGGGGAUAACAGUCAGAAAUGACUGCUAAUACCGCAUAAGACCACAGCACCGCAUGGUGCAGGGGUAAAAACUCCGGUGGUACAGGAUGGACCCGCGUCUGAUUAGCUGGUUGGUGAGGUAACGGCUCACCAAGGCGACGAUCAGUAGCCGGCUUGAGAGAGUGAACGGCCACAUCGGGACUGAGACACGGCCCAAACUCCUACGGGAGGCAGCAGUGGGGAAUAUUGCACAAUGGGGGAAACCCUGAUGCAGCGACGCCGCGUGAGUGAAGAAGUAUUUCGGUAUGUAAAGCUCUAUCAGCAGGGAAGAAAAUGACGGUACCUGACUAAGAAGCCCCGGCUAACUACGUG